UUAACUCAAAUUUGUAGGGAGUUGGAUCGUUUGCCUAGGUUUACCGCUAGAGGCGCUGUUCCAACUGCAUAUAGAUUUUUUUUU
Molecule: microRNA precursor, 84 nt
Filed under: Bombyx mori (domestic silkworm)
Lineage: Eukaryota; Metazoa; Arthropoda; Insecta; Lepidoptera; Bombycidae
Description: mir-2807 microRNA precursor family
Rfam family: mir-2807 microRNA precursor family
Source: Rfam by way of RNAcentral